UAUUCCCUGCGGUGUUUGUUAAGGCUCAUACUCUUUGAACCAACUCUAAGUAACGGGUUGUAAACUAAAGCGAUGCUGUUGAGCGCUUCUCAUCGAAGAAGAGCCUGAUGCAUACGGUGAGCAACCACCUUGAACCACUAGGUUCAAGAUGACAGCCUGACGGCAUUUGCGGGGAAACU
RNAcentral lists this non-coding RNA (179 nucleotides) under Nitrosomonas nitrosa. RNAcentral describes it as "6S / SsrS RNA". It matches the Rfam family "6S / SsrS RNA". Rfam says of the family: E. coli 6S RNA was the first non coding RNA to be sequenced, but its function was unknown until recently. It consists of 184 nucleotides that fold into an extended hairpin structure with a large single-stranded internal bulge. The record is from Rfam by way of RNAcentral. Lineage: Bacteria; Pseudomonadati; Pseudomonadota; Betaproteobacteria; Nitrosomonadales; Nitrosomonadaceae.